UUACGGAUUGCACCCGACAAAACAUUAGAGAAGAAGAAGAAGCUUACGUCAUUCGACGCGACACUUUCCACGGUCGGAGCUGAUCCGGAUCACAUACACAGGAGUCACUCAUUGAAGAUGAAUCACAGCUGGACAGGGAUCUUCGAAUAAUUGAGAGACACCAUGGUGUAAAACGAAGGUGGCUCCCUUCGGAUGGCAUUUUCCAGAGAACACUGAGAGAUGUUGACCAGGAACUUAGAGGUCAGCUGAUACGACGAGCACAAAAUGAAGCAAGGGAGAGGGCCACUCUUCUCAACCUGAAAAGAAGAUGUAAUGGUAACACUACUUCUUCUCUUGACUGUAUGGUCAUUAGCAAAAUUGAAGCUCAAAGGUCUUGUGGUAAACCUAAAUUUAAUCUUUAUGUUAUCCCUGCACCAUGCAUAUGUUCACUCUAGGUACUUAAGCGUCUUUAUGCAGUGUAAGAAGUGACUGGUUUAUUCCAACUUGUCCUUUGUCAUGGGUAUGUGCUUUUGAUAUGUAUAAGGUUAUUUAUCUUUGGUGUAUGAAUAUGUUUCUUGGGUGUAUCCUGUCUUUCACCUAAUGCCCGUUGUAAAUAGGCACAGAUAAGUGAGUAUUGUAAUACAUCCAUUUUCUAAUGGACAUUCAAUGAUCUUAUACAUUACGGCAGAUAUUAAG
Long non-coding RNA from Gambusia affinis (western mosquitofish), 675 nucleotides. RefSeq lists it as uncharacterized. The transcript is spliced from 3 exons. The record is from RefSeq and is a predicted model, not a curated record. Lineage: Eukaryota; Metazoa; Chordata; Actinopteri; Cyprinodontiformes; Poeciliidae.